UACGUAGGGGGCAAGCGUUGUCCGGAUUCAUUGGGCGUAAAGAGCGUGUAGGCGGCCUGAAAGGUCAGCUGUGAAAACUCGAGGCUCAACCUCGAGACGUCGGUUGAAACCAUCUGGCUAGAGUCCGGAAGAGGAGUGUGGAAUUCCCGGUGUGAGCGGUGAAAUGCGCAGAUAUCGGGAAGAACACCCGUGGCGAAGGCGGCACUCUGGGACGGUACUGACGCUGAGACGGCGAAAGCGUGGGGAGCCGAACAGG
Molecule: ribosomal RNA, 256 nt
Filed under: uncultured bacterium
Lineage: Bacteria
Description: partial 16S ribosomal RNA
Rfam family: Bacterial small subunit ribosomal RNA
Source: RNAcentral